Molecule: ribosomal RNA, 518 nt
Filed under: uncultured bacterium
Lineage: Bacteria
Description: bacterial SSU rRNA
Rfam family: Bacterial small subunit ribosomal RNA
Source: RNAcentral
GUCGGAUUAGCUAGUUGGUGGGGUAACGGCCUACCAAGGCGAUGAUCCGUAGCUGGUCUGAGAGGAUGAUCAGCCACACUGGGACUGAGACACGGCCCAGACUCCUACGGGAGGCAGCAGUAGGGAAUAUUGGACAAUGGGGGCAACCCUGAUCCAGCAAUGCCGCGUGAGUGAUGAAGGCCUUCGGGUUGUAAAGCUCUUUCGGCGGGGACGAUGAUGACGGUACCCGCAGAAGAAGCCCCGGCUAACUUCGUGCCAGCAGCCGCGGUAAUACGAAGGGGGCGAGCGUUGUUCGGAAUUACUGGGCGUAAAGGGCGCGCAGGCGGCUCUUGCAGUCAGGUGUGAAAGCCCCGGGCUCAACCUGGGAGGUGCACUUGAUACUCGAGGGCUCGAGUACGGGAGAGGAGAGUGGAAUUCCCAGUGUAGAGGUGAAAUUCGUAGAUAUUGGGAAGAACACCGGUGGCGAAGGCGGCUCUCUGGACCGUAACUGACGCUGAGGCGCGAAAGCGUGGGGAGCA